This 305-nucleotide ribosomal RNA is filed under the name uncultured bacterium. Its description in RNAcentral is "bacterial SSU rRNA". It matches the Rfam family "Bacterial small subunit ribosomal RNA", at positions 496 to 800 of the family's 1533-position model. The record is from RNAcentral.
GCUAACUACGUGCCAGCAGCCGCGGUAAUACGUAGGGGGCAAGCGUUAUCCGGAUUUACUGGGUGUAAAGGGGGCGCAGACGGCGAUGCAAGCCAGGAGUGAAAGCCCGGGGCCCAACCCCGGGACUGCUCUUGGAACUGCGUGGCUGGAGUGCAGGAGGGGCAGGCGGAAUUCCUGGUGUAGCGGUGAAAUGCGUAGAUAUCAGGAGGAACACCGGUGGCGAAGGCGGCCUGCUGGACUGCAACUGACGUUGAGGCCCGAAAGCGUGGGGAGCAAACAGGAUUAGAAACCCGGGUAGUCCUAAC